AUGGACAAGAUGCCAGGACCUGUAUGUUUUACAAUGAAGUUCUUGUCAUCAAAUUUCUCCCUGCAGAUGGACUUGCCACCGUGCCAUUACGUGCACAGAGCACAAAAGUUUUCUGCUGUCUUUGGAAACUUGUCUCCAAAUAGCUUGGAGGAGAUACAGCCCAAGGGCUCGCUGUUGACGGUGAUAUUGAAGAACACGCCAACCAGAACAACGUUCUAUGCACAUUUUGUCCUCAGUAAGAGGGCCUCUGGCCAAAAUUUGGCUAGUGGCCCAUUGGGAUAAGAAGCUAACCAAAGCUCAUGUGUUUCAGUGUAAUUUAGAGAGCAGUGUGGAGAAUAUCAUCUCACCAAAGGUGAAGAUGGCAUUACAGACAUGAGGAUAUCUUUUUCUGGGACUAGUUUGAACAGGAAAACCAAAUACCUUCUUUCAGACUGUAAUGAAGCAUUCAUUAAGAUAAAGAUGGCUUUCUGGACAGGUGUUGUUGACCUGAGAAAAAUUGGGGAGGAGCUUAUAACGCUAUUACUUUACUUGAAGAAUUUCAUGACUUUGAACAACCGUUGCCUGACUUAGAUAACAUUGAUGAGGCCCAGGAGUUCAGCUUGGAUCAGAGUAGAGUGGAAGAGAUAAACAUGAGAGAAGAAGUUGGGAAUAUCAGUAUGUUACAAGAAAAUUAUUUUGGUGAUUUUUGGAAUGGAUGAUCGUGAGAUAAUGAAAGAAGGCAGUGCUUUUGUGGAUGAUGACAUGUUAGUAAGCCCUACUGCUUCUAACCUCAUAUUAGCAUCUGAACAGAGCAUCAGCAAUCUGAAUGAGAAAAUUAACCAUUUAGAAUAUGAAGACCAAUAUAAAGACAACAAUUUUGGAGAAGGAAAUGAUGGUGGAAUAUUAGACGACAAACUUAUUAGUAAUAAUGAUGGUGGUAUCUUUGAUGAUCCCCUGCCCUUUCUGAGGCAGGGGUGAUGUUGCCAGAGCAGCCUGCACAUGAUGAUAUGGAUGAGGAUGAUAAUGUAUCAAUGGGUGGGCCUGAUGGUCCUGAUUCAGGAUCCUGUUGAACCAGCCAACUAUGAUCAAACAACACCUGUUACAAAUGAGGAAGAAGCAUUUGCAUUGGAACCUAUUGCUGUAACUGUUAAAGAAACAAAAGCCAAGAGGAAGAGGAAGCUAAUUGUUGACAGUAUCAAAGACUUGGAUAGCAAGAUAAUCAGAGCCCAACUUAGUGAUUAUUCUGAUAUUGUUACUACUUUGGGUCUGGCACCACCUACCAAGAAAUAGGUGAUGUGGAAAGAGACAGGAGGAGUAAAAAAAACUGUUUUCUUUACCUGCUCAGCCUUUGCGGAAUAACAUACUACUGAAGUUCUUUACAUGCUGUCUUACACCACUUGUACCAGAAGACCUUAGAAAAAGGAGGAAAGAAGAGACAGAUAAUUUGGAGGAGUUCCUCAAAGAACUUGAAAAUCCAGAGGUUCCUAGAGAGGACCAGCAACAGUUACACCAGCAGCAUGAUGUUAUCGAUGACCCUAUUUUGGAAGAGCCAAGCCGCCUCCAGGAGUCAGUAAUGGAAGCCAGCAGAACAAACCUGGACGUGUCAACUAUGCCUCCAUCACCACCUCAGGGAGUUAAGCAAAAAGCUGGACAAACUGACCCAGAGCCUGUGAUGCCUCCUCAGCAGGUAGAGAAGAGGAAAUACUGCCUGUAGAACUUCCCCUAGAAGAACCUCCAAAUAUCUGUCAGCUAAUACCAGAUAUCUGUCAGCUAAUAUACCAGAGUUAGAACUUCUGCCAGAAAAAGAGAAGGAGAAAGAAAAGGAAAAAAAAAAAAAAAAAGAUGAUGAUGAAGAGGAAAAGGAUGAAGAUACUCCAGGGGGUAAUCAAGAUCAGGAAGAAAGAAGAUGGAAGAAAAGGACUCAGCAGAUGCUUCAUGGUCUUCAGUGAGCUCUUGCUAAAACGGGAGCUGAAUCUAUCAGUUUGCUUGAGUUAUGUCAAAACACAAACAGAAAACAAGCUGCCACAAAGUUCGACAGCUUCUUAGUUCUUAGAAAGCAGCAAGCUAUUGAGCUGACGCAUGAAGAACCAUACAGUGACAUCAUCCCAACACCUGGACCAAAGUUCCAUAUUUUAUGA
Molecule: RNA transcript, 2117 nt
Organism: Cebus imitator (Panamanian white-faced capuchin)
Lineage: Eukaryota; Metazoa; Chordata; Mammalia; Primates; Cebidae
Gene name: double-strand-break repair protein rad21 homolog
Exons: 3
Source: RefSeq, a predicted model, not a curated record